RNAcentral lists this ribosomal RNA (329 nucleotides) under uncultured eukaryote. RNAcentral describes it as "partial 18S ribosomal RNA". It matches the Rfam family "Eukaryotic small subunit ribosomal RNA", at positions 1470 to 1796 of the family's 1831-position model. The record is from RNAcentral.
CCCUUAGAUGUCCUGGGCCGCACGCGCGUUACACUGAUGCAUUCAACGAGCUUAUAACCUUGGCCGAGAGGCCUGGGCAAUCUUGUUAACGUGCAUCGUGAUAGGGAUAGAUUAUUGAAAUUAUUAAUCUUGAACGAGGAAUUCCUAGUAAACGCAGAUCAUCAAUCUGCAUUGAUUACGUCCCUGCCCUUUGUACACACCGCCCGUCGCUCCUACCGAUUGAAUGUGUUGGUGAGGAGUUCGGAUUGGCAGCUGGUGGUGGUUCGCCACCGCCUGCAGCUGAGAAGUUCUCCAAACCGCCCCAUUUAGAGGAAGGAGAAGUCGUAACA